This 442-nucleotide ribosomal RNA is filed under the name uncultured bacterium. Its description in RNAcentral is "partial 16S ribosomal RNA". It matches the Rfam family "Bacterial small subunit ribosomal RNA", at positions 338 to 795 of the family's 1533-position model. The record is from RNAcentral.
CCUACGGGAGGCAGCAGUGGGGGAUAUUGCACAAUGGGGGAAACCCUGAUGCAGCGACGCCGCGUGGGCGAAGAAGUAUUUCGGUAUGUAACGCACUAUCAGCAGGGAAGAAGAAAUGACGGUAUCUGAUUAAGAAGCACCGGCUAAAUACGUGCCAGCAGCCGCGGUAAUACGUAUGGUGCAAGUGUUAUCCGGAUUUACUGGGUGUAAAGGGAGCGCAGGCGGCACGGCAAGCCUGAUGUGAAAGCCCGCGGCCCAACCGCGGGACUGCAUUGGGAACUACCGGGCUGGAGUGCCGGAGAAGUAGGCGGAAUUCCUAGUGUAGCGGUGAAAUGCGUAGAUAUUACGAAGAACACCAGUGGCGAAGGCGGCCUACUGGACGGUGACUGACGCUGAGGCUCGAAAGCGUGGGGAGCGAACAGGAUUAGAUACCCGAGUAGUC